RNAcentral lists this long non-coding RNA (6092 nucleotides) under Equus caballus (horse). Its description in RNAcentral is "lncRNA (ENSECAG00000047149.1)". The record is from RNAcentral. Lineage: Eukaryota; Metazoa; Chordata; Mammalia; Perissodactyla; Equidae.
GGGCCCAUGAGGAUGGAUGCAGUAAUCCAGCAGUGGUUGCUGUGCACCCUGCUGUGUCCCUGAAUGUGCAUGCUCUGAACAGUCAGUGGAUGCAGUGAUCCUGCAGUGAUUGCAGUGCACCUGCAUUUCCACAUCAGAUGGAAGCAGUGUCCCUUCAGGUGUUGCAGAGCCACUUUCUGUGUUGCUGAAGGUGAAUGCAGUAACCAUGCAGUGGAUGCAGUGUACCUAACGGUUUAUGCAGUAUGUUGUGACAGAGGAUGCGGUGCCCAUGAAGGGGGAUGCAGCAGUGCAGAAGUCAUGUGCCAGCUAGGCCUGAACCGAAUAGCUGUCCCUCUUGAACCACAGGUCAGACUCACUUGAAACACAUGUCAGCAAAACUGGCCCAACUUGCCUGCCAUGCCUGAACCACGUGCCAAGCCUGCCACAAACACAUGUGAGCCAGGCUUUAGCAGCACCUCGGCCGUGCAUGAGCCACACCUGAGGGAUGUGUGAGCCAUGCAUGACAAAAGCCUGAAUCAUGUGGCAGCCACAUGGGAGCCAGUGCCGUGGCAUGCCUGCAUCAUGUGUGAGCCAUGGCUGAGCUGUGCCUGAAACACUUGUGAAUGUGUCCACCAUAUGUGACCCACACGUGUCGUGUGUGAGCCACGCCUGAAUUACACCUGAAUCAUGUGUGAGCCAUGCAUGAACCACAUGUGAGACACCCUCAAGCACAUCUGAACCAUCUGUGAAACACACAUGAUGGAUGAUUGAACCACACAUGAAGCCCAGUGGAGCCACAGAUGAAACACAGCUGAGGCAUGUGUGAGCCACGUGCGAGCCAUGACUGAGCAUGGGAGAGCCACGUUUCAACAAACUGUGAGUCACGUGGGAGCCACACCUGUAUGGAAUGUCACACACACGUGACCAGAUGUCUGCCACACAUGGAUCUUUUGCAAUGAAUGCCUGAGUCAUGGGUCAGCCAUGCCUGAGCCCUGUGCGAUGAAUGCCUGAGUCAGGUGUCAGCCAGGCCUGACACAUGUGUGAGCCACACCAGGGUCAUGUUUCACACAUGCCUGUGUCACAUGUGAGCCAUGUCUGAACCACAUGCCACCCAUACGUGAACCUUGCAACAGACACCCCUGAGCCACACGAAGGCCAUACAUGAACCAUGUGUGAACCACACACAGGUGAAGUGUCAUGCACGCCUGUGUCACGUGGCCACCACACCUGAGUUAUGUCAGCCACGCCUGCAUAAACUCUGAGCCAUGCCUGAGGCAAAUCUAAGCCGUUCUGAUGUCACGUGCCAUCCUGGCUUGAACCAAGUGCCAGUCACACUUGAAUCACAGGUCAGCCUCACUUGAAGCACCUGUCAGCCACACUGGCACAACUUGCCUGCCAUGAAUGAACCACGUGCCAACCAUGCCACAAACACAUGUGAACCAUGCCUGAGCAACACCACAACCAUGCAUUAGAGACUCUUGAGCCAUGUGUGAGCCAAGCAUCACAAAAGCCUGAAUCAUGUGUCAGAUACGUGGGAGCCAGUGCUGCGGCACCCCAGCAUCAUGUGUGAGCAAUGGCUGAGUUAUGCCUGAACCACGUGUGAAAGUGUCCUCUACCAUUUGUGACCCAGAUGAGUCGUGCAAGAGCCACAUCUGAAUAACACCCGAACCAUGUGUGAGCCACGCAUGAACCACAUGUGAGACACCCUUGAAGCACAUCUGAACAACGUGUGAAAGACACAUGAUCGAUGCUUGAACCACACAUGAACCGCAGGGGAGCCACACAAGAAACACAGCUGAGCCAUGUGUGAGCCACAUGCCAGGCAUGACUGAGUAUGCGGGAGCCACGUUUCAGCAACAUGUGAGUCACCUGGCAGCAACUCCUGUAGGGCAUGUCACACAAGUGUGACCACAUGUCUGCCACACAUGGACCCUGUGCUAUACAUGCCUCAGUCACACGUCAGCCAUGACUGAAACAUGUGUCAGCCAUACCAAGGUCAUGUUUCACACAUGCCUGUGCCACAUGUCUGACACACCUGAACCACAGGUGGCCCACGCCUGAGUCAAGUCUCAGCUGUGCCAAUGUCACUCGCCAGCCUGGCCUGAAUCAAGUGCCAGUCACACUUGAACCACAGGUCAGCCUCACUUGAAGCACGAGUCAGCCACACUGGCACAACUUGCCUGCCAUGCCUGAACCACAUGACAACCAUGCCACAAACACAUGUGAGUCACGCUUGAGCAGUACCACAGCUGCGCAUGUGCCACACAUGAGCCAUGUGUGAGCCAUGCAUGGCAAAAGCCUGAAUCAUGUGUCAGAUACGUGGGAGCCAGUGCUGUGGCACGCCUGCAUCACAUAUGAGCCAUGGCUGAGGUAUGCCUGAACCACGUGCGAAAGUGUCCUCUACCAUUUGUGACCCAGAUGAGUCGUGUGUGAGCCACGCCUGAAUUACACCUGAACCAUGUGUGAGCCAUGCAUGAACCACAUGUGAGACACCGUUGAAGCAAUCUGAACCACCUGUGAAACACACAUGAUCGAUGCUUGAAUCGCACAUGACCCGCAAUGGAGCCACACAUGCAACACAGCUGAGCCAUGCGUGAGCUGCGUGACAGCCAUGACUGAGUAUGUGGCAGCCAGGUUUCAGCAACCUGUAGUCACAUGGGAGCCACCCAUGUACGUCAUGUGACUCCUGCGUGAUCACACGUCUGUCACACAUGGAUACUGGGUGAUGAAUGCCUGAGUCAAGUGUCAGCCAUGCCUGACACAUGAGUCAGCCACACUGGAGUCCCGUUUCACACAUGCUGGAGUCACAUUUCAGCCAUGCCUGAACCACCAGCCACCCAUGUGUGAACCCUGCACCAGCCAACCCUGAACCACACAAAGGCCAUGCAUGAGCCAUAUGUGAACCACACCCAGCUGACAUGUCACUCAUGCCUGUGUCACGUGGCUGCCUCACCUGUGUCAUGUGUGUAGCCACACAUGAAACAUAGCUGAGCCAUGCGUGAGCUGCAUGCCAGCCAUGACUCAGUAUGCGGGAGCCACGUUUCAGCAACCUGUGAGUCACGUGGGUGCCACACGUGUACAGCAUGUCACACACAUGUGACGACAUGUCGGCCACACAUGGAUCCUGUGUGAUGCAUAGCCUGAGUCAUGUGUCAGCCAUGCCUGACACAGGUGUCAGCCACACUGGAGUCAUGUUUCACACAUGCCUGAGUCACACGUCAGCCACGCCUGAACCACCUGCCACCCAUGCGUGCACGAUGCUCCAGCCACCCCUGAAACACACGAAGGCCAUGCAUGACACAUGUGUGAACCACACCAGAGUGAUCUGUCAUGCACGCCUGUGUCACAUGGCCACCACACCUGAGUCAUGUGUCAGCCACGGCUGAAUAAACUGUGAGCCAUGCCUGAGUCACGUCUCAGCAGUGCCGAAGUCACCUGCCAGCCCAGCCUGAACCAAGUGCCACUCACACUUGAACCACAGGUCAGCGUCACUUGAAGCACGUGUCAGCCACACUGGCACAACUUGACUGCCAUGCCUGAACCUCGUGACAACCAUACCAUAAACACAGGUGAGUCACGCUUGAGCAGUAUCACAGCUGUGCAUGUACCACACGUGAGCUAUGUGUGAACCAUACGUGUCAAAAGCCCGAAUCAUGUGUCAGAUACGUGGGAGCCAGUGCUGUGGCAUGCCUGCCUCACGUGUGAGCCAUGACUGAGCUAUGCCUGAACCACGUGAGGAAGUGUCCUCUACCAUUUGGAACCCAGAUGAGUCGUGCGUGAACCACGCCUGAAUUACAUCCGAACCAUGUGUGAGCCAUGCAUGAACCACAUGUGAGACACCCUUGAAGCACAUUUGAACCACCUGUGGAACACACAUGAUUGAUGCUUGAACCGCACGUGAACCGCAGGGGAGCCACGCAUGAAACACAGCUGAGCCAUGCGUGAGCCAUGUGCCAGCCAUGACUGAGUAUGCGGGAUCCACAUUUCAGCAACCUGUGAGUCAUGUGGGAGCUACACCUGUACAGCAUGUCACACACACGUGACCACAUGUCUGCCACACAUGGAUCCUGUGCGAUGCAUGCCUGAGUCACGUGUCAGCCAAGCCUGAGACACGUGUGAGCCACACCAGAGUCAUGUUUCACACAUGCCUGAGUCACAUGUCGGCCACGCCUGAACCACCUGCCACCCAUGCGUGAACCCUGCACCAAACACCUCUGAAGUACACGAAGGCCAUGCAUGAAGCAUGUGUGAACCACAACAGAAUGACGUGUCAUGCAUGCCUGUGUCACAUGGUCACCUCACCUGAGUCAUGUGUGAGCCACGCCUGCAUAACGUCUGAGCCACUCCUGAGUCAUGUCUUAGCAGUGCCGAAGUCUUGUGCCAGCCAGGCUUGAACCAAGUGCCCGUCACACUGGAAACACAGAUCAGCCUCACUUGAAGCUCCUGUCAGCCACACUGGCACAACUUUCCUGCCAUGCCUGAACCACGUGCCAGACAUGCCAUAAACACCCGUGAGCCAUGCCUGAGCAACACCCAACACAUGCAUGUGCCUCUCCUGAGCCUUGUGUGAGCCAAGCAUGACAAAAGUCUGAAUAACGUGUCAGCCACAUGGGAGCAAGUGCUGUGGCACGCCUUCAUCAUGUGUGACCCAUAGCUGAGCUAUGCCUUAACCAAAGGUGAAAGUGUCCUCUACGAUAUGUGACCAACAUGAGUCUUGUGUGAGCAUGCCUGAAUUACACCCGAACCAUGUGUGAGCCAUGCAUGAACCACAUGUGAGACACCCUUGAAGCACAUCUGAACCACCUGUGAAACACACAUGAUCAAUGCUUGAAUCGCACAUGACCCACAAGGGAGCCACACAUGAAACACAGCUGAGCCACGUGUGAGCCACGUGCCAGCCAUGACUGAGUAUGUGGUAGCCAGGUUUCAGCAACCUGUGAGUCACGUGGCAGCCACGCCUGUACAGCAUGUCACACGUGCGUGACCACAUGUCUGCCACACAUCGAUCCUGUGCGAUGCAUGCCUGUGUCACAUGUCAGCCAUGCCUGAGACAUUUGUCAGACACACUAGAGCCAUGUUUCUCACAUGCCUGAGUCACAUGUCAGCCACACCUGAACCACUUGCCACCCACGCAUGCACCAUGCACCAGCCACCCCCGAAUGACAUGAAGGCCAUGCAUGACACAUGUGUGAACCACAGCUGCGUGACAUGAGAUACACACCUGUGUCAUGUGGUCCCAUCACCUGAGUCAUGUGUCAGCCACGCCUGAAUAAACUUUGAGCCAGGCCUGAGUCAGGUCAAAGCCGUCCUGUGGUCACGUGCCAGCCAGGUCUGAACCGCCUGCUAGUCACACUAGAAUAACUGGUCAGCCUUAUUUGAAGCACAUGUCAGCCUCACUCGCACAACUUGCCUGCCAUGCUGGAACAACGUACCACCCAUGCCACAAACACAUGUGAGCCAGGCCUGAGCAACACCACAGACAUGCAUGAGCCACACCUGAACCAGGUGUGAGCCAUGCAUGACCAAAGCCUGUAUCAUGUGUCAGCCGCAUGGGACCCUGUUCUGUGGCAUGCCUUCAUCACGUGUGAGCCAUGACUGAGCUAUGCCUGAACCACGUGUGAGAUUGUCCUCAACCAUAUGUGACCCAGACGAGUCGUGUGAGAUCCACGUCUGAAUUACACCCAAACCAUGUGUGAGCCAUGCAGGAACCACAUGGGAGACCCCCCUGAACCACAUCUGAAGAACCUGUGAAACACAAAUGUUCCAUGCUUGAACCACGCAUGAAUCAGAGAGGAGCAACACAUGACACACAGCUGAGCCAUGCGUGAGCCAUGUGGCAGACAUGACUGAGUAUGUGGUAGCCAUGUUUCAGCAACCUGUAGUCACAUGGGAGCCACCCAUGUACGGCAUGUGACUCCUUCAUGAUCACAAUUCCGUCACAAAUGGAUACUGGGUGAUGAAUGCUUGAGUCACAUGUCAGCCAUGCCUGACACAUGUGUCAGCCACACCAGAGUCCUGUUUCACACACGCCAGAGUCACAUUUUAGCCACGCCUGAACCAUCUGCCACCCAUGUGUGAACCAUGCAGCAGCCAACCCUGAACCACACGAAGGC